GGGGUUGUGGCUCAGCGGUAGAGUACUUAUCUUGCACAUGCAAGACCCUGGGUUCGGUCCUCAGCACCACA
Molecule: transfer RNA, 71 nt
Filed under: Marmota monax (woodchuck)
Lineage: Eukaryota; Metazoa; Chordata; Mammalia; Rodentia; Sciuridae
Description: tRNA.Ala
Source: RNAcentral